UACGAAGGGGGCUAGCGUUGUUCGGAAUUACGUGGGCGUAAAGCGCGCGCAGGCGGUCUUCCAAGUCAGUGGUGAAAGCCCGGAGCUCAACUCCGGAACUGCCAUUGAAACUGUUGGACUUGAGUAGAGAGAGGUGAGUGGAAUUCCCAAUGUAGAGGUGAAAAUUCGUAGAUAUUGGGAAGAACACCGGUGGCGAAGGCGGCUCACUGG
This 210-nucleotide ribosomal RNA is filed under the name uncultured bacterium. Its description in RNAcentral is "partial 16S ribosomal RNA". It matches the Rfam family "Bacterial small subunit ribosomal RNA", at positions 524 to 732 of the family's 1533-position model. The record is from RNAcentral.